This 468-nucleotide ribosomal RNA is filed under the name uncultured bacterium. RNAcentral's name for it is "partial 16S ribosomal RNA". It matches the Rfam family "Bacterial small subunit ribosomal RNA", at positions 28 to 507 of the family's 1533-position model. The record is from RNAcentral.
GACGAACGCUGGCGGCGUGCUUAACACAUGCAAGUCGAACGGAAAGGCCCUGCUUUUGUGGGGUGCUCGAGUGGCGAACGGGUGAGUAACACGUGAGUAACCUGCCCUUGACUUUGGGAUAACUUCAGGAAACUGGGGCUAAUACCGGAUAGGAGCUCCUGCUGCAUGGUGGGGGUUGGAAAGUUUCGGCUGUUGGGGAUGGACUCGCGGCUUAUCAGCUUGUUGGUGGGGUAGUGGCUUACCAAGGCUUUGACGGGUAGCCGGCCUGAGAGGGUGACCGGCCACAUUGGGACUGAGAUACGGCGCAGACUCCUACGGGAGGCAGCAGUGGGGAAUAUGGCACAAUGGGCGGAAGCCUGAUGCAGCAACGCCGCGUGCGGGAUGACGGCCUUCGGGUUGUAAACCGCUUUCGCCUGUGACGAAGCGUGAGUGACGGUAAUGGGUAAAGAAGCACCGGCUAACUACGUG